UCUCUGCGAUGUUGAAAUCAGAUAACAAGUCCGAUGUAGUCUAUUAAACCAUGUGGACAAUCAAGGCAUUUGUCUGAGAAAA
RNAcentral lists this small nucleolar RNA (82 nucleotides) under Triticum aestivum (bread wheat). RNAcentral's name for it is "snoRNA SNOR75". It matches the Rfam family "Plant small nucleolar RNA SNOR75". From Rfam's summary of the family: U15 is a member of the C/D class of snoRNA which contain the C (UGAUGA) and D (CUGA) box motifs. The record is from Rfam by way of RNAcentral. RNAcentral also lists the same sequence under 1 other name. Lineage: Eukaryota; Viridiplantae; Streptophyta; Magnoliopsida; Poales; Poaceae.